AGCUUUGCGCAGUGGCGAUAUCGUAACCAAUGAGGUUCUACCGAGGUGCGAUUUUUGCUAGUUGAAAACUAUCAUGAAAUAAUGAAAAAUUCUCUCAUUUCAGCCUUGUAUUUAAAAAAAAUAUUCAUAAACGGUCUUGACCC
Uranotaenia lowii is the source of this 143-nucleotide small nuclear RNA. RefSeq annotates it as U4 spliceosomal RNA. NCBI's taxonomy places the organism in Eukaryota, Metazoa, Arthropoda, Insecta, Diptera, Culicidae. The transcript has a single exon. The record is from RefSeq and is a predicted model, not a curated record.